Molecule: small nuclear RNA, 104 nt
Organism: Cebus imitator (Panamanian white-faced capuchin)
Lineage: Eukaryota; Metazoa; Chordata; Mammalia; Primates; Cebidae
Source: RefSeq, a predicted model, not a curated record
GUGCUCACUUCAGCAGCACAUAUACUAAAAUUGGAAUGAUACAAAGAUUAGUAUGACCCUUACUCAAGGAUGGCACACAAAUUUGUAAAGCAUUCCUUUUAUUU